GAGAGAGAGAGAGAAAGGGUUGCUUUAUAAAGCUUCAGAAGUCACCAAAAAGGCCUCUCUUUCCUUUUUAUUUAUUUAUUUUUUUUAAUUUUUACGUCUUUUGACGUUCUUUCCGCUAUUUCUAUGGCUCUUCCCAUAACUCUUGUUCUUCACACUUUACUGCAAUUUCUUUGAUACAUAAUGAACGGUUCAGAUAUGCCUCUAUCCAAAGAUCCAGCUUUCAAGCUCUUUGGUCGAAAGAUUCCGGUACCCGAUACCCUGAUUCCGGCCAAACCACCAUCCCAGCAGAACAGCUGCAAUGAAAUUACAAAAGGAGAAACUGAUGGUCUCAAUGAUGACAACUCCGGAGAGCCAGAUAAGUCCAAUGCUUCAGGUCAAGCUAAGGAAGAAAACCAAACCCUUAUGCUUGUGGAUGAAACGAAAGGAACUUCCAAGUCAAAGGAAGACCAGGAAGAGACCAAUAGUGUAGACCAAGAGAAAGUUUUCAAGAAGCCAGAUAAGAUCCUACCAUGUCCAAGAUGUAACAGUUUAGAUACAAAAUUUUGUUACUUCAACAACUACAGUGUCAACCAACCAAGGCAUUUUUGCAAGAAUUGCCACAGAUAUUGGACGGCUGGUGGAACAAUGAGAAAUGUCCCUAUUGGUGCUGGACGGCGGAAGAAUAAGCACUUAGCCUCUCAGUACCGUCAAAUAUUAGUAUCUUCUGAAGGUGUACCUAUUACCAGAAUGGAAAACUCAGAUUCAGCCAAUCACCAACUUGUAUCAUCUGUUGAUUCUGCAACCACUUUGAGUCCUUCAACAACAGGAAAUGGGAUGGUUCUAAAAUUUGGUCCUGAAGCACCACUUUGUGAAUCCAUGGAGACAGCACUUAACCUUGGAGACCAAAACAAAUAUGCUGAGAUAAGUUCAGUCAAUUGUCGAGAUAAUAUAGAGGAGCCAUCCUCAUGUGGAUCCUCCAUGACAGCAUCCAGUUGCCAGGGAAAUGAAUUACCAGAAACUGUUAUGCAAAAGGAGCUAGUUGGCUUGCCAGGACCUCCUAAUGAGUUCAAUAUGCCACAUCCUCUGCACUGUUACCCUCUUCCUCCAUGGGUAUUCCCCUGGAACCCAGGUUGGAACAAUGCAACUUCUAUGGCAGCAGCUCAGCAUUCUGCUGGGCCAAAUAGCAAUAAUUCCAAUCAACUUCAGUGGUGCCCUACACCAAUACUGGCAGUCCCAGGCUUUUGUCCACCAAAUAUUCCUUUACAAUUUGUACCGGCUUCAUAUUGGGGUUGCAUGCCUAUGUGGGCUGCUGGAACAGGAAAUAAGUCAUUGAGUGGAUCUAAUGGUUGCUCUUCUCCAUCAUCCUCGACUAGCACCAGUUGCUGCUCUGGAAAUGGCUCACCAAACCUAGGCAAGCAUUCUAGAGAUUCAAAUCUUAUGAAUGAAGAUAAAGCUGAGAAUUGUAUAUUGGUACCAAAGACAUUGAGAAUUGAUGACCCAAAUGAGGCUUCAAAGAGUCCUUUAUGGGCCACAUUAGGUCUUAAACUUGACCAGAAGAAUCCUGUACCAAAAGGUACCACCUUCAAAACUUUUGAAACUAAAGCAGAAGGGAAGGGCCAUGUAUCAGAUGCCACUCAUAUACUAGAAGCAAACCCAGCAGCUCUUUCUCGCUCUCAUACAUUCCAGGAAAGCAGCUAGAGGGGGCCCUACUGAAAUUUUUCUUGAUGAAUUGCAGGGACUUGUUUUCUUCUAAGAGAAUGUAGCAUCAGCCUUCCUUUCAGAAAUCUUGCUUUUAUGCUAAAUCCUGAUUCUUUGAAGUCUGAAAAAAGAUAUUGGGAAAUCAAAAGUUGCAUUACAAUCAACAGUGUUGUCAGCAUAUCUCUUCAAAAGAGUUCACAUUGUAAAUAUUGGAGGAUCUUUAGUGAGUGUUUUUAUGUUCUGCGGCCUUUUGUAGGUUUCAGUUCAUACACAUUCGUCUCUUCUGCCUUGAGUUGGCAGAAAAUAAAGGGAAGUUCUGCUAAAUGUUGUAUGUAUGAUUUAAAACCCAUGUUCAAUUACAAGGCUAACCCAUGUUUUAAAUCAUACAUACAACAUUUAGCA
This 2079-nucleotide unclassified non-coding RNA is filed under the name Hevea brasiliensis (rubber tree). The record is from RNAcentral. Lineage: Eukaryota; Viridiplantae; Streptophyta; Magnoliopsida; Malpighiales; Euphorbiaceae.